CUUAUCUCUAUCUCUAGUUCAUGUUCGAGUUCGCAGGUCUUUCUUCAUGGUUUGCUAGGUUUUAUCUAGAUCAGAUCGAUCGAUUGAAGAUCUAUUGAUCGAUUGAACGUGAUUUCGAAGUUCAACCUUCUUCAGCUCGGUGAUUCAAUCUCAGAUUCGUUCGGCGAUUUCGAAGUUCUCUCUCGAUUUCAAAGCUCGGUGAUUCAAUCUCAGAUUCAUUCAGCGAGGAAAGUGAGCACCAUCAUCUACCAAGGUGA
This is a non-coding RNA of Camellia sinensis, 257 nucleotides long. The record is from RefSeq and is a predicted model, not a curated record. Lineage: Eukaryota; Viridiplantae; Streptophyta; Magnoliopsida; Ericales; Theaceae.